AAUGGCCCGCAUUGCCCCUUACCUCUGUUCUCAUUACAGAAGGCUGAAGGGGCAUCUUUAAUUUUCAAGCUGCAAGGAGGAAAGCAACAACAUCAGAAAGAGAAGAUGGAAAUGGUGGUCCCAGUGACUCAUCUUGAGGAAGGAGAAAACAUGAGGAGGCACUAUAAGGACAUCUGCUGGAGCACCUCGUGCUGGCCUUUGCUGUGUGAGGGUGAAUGUUGUGACAGAGACAACUUUGCAACCUGUAAGGGAGGAGGAUCCUCUCCAAGUACAAUUUUUUUUUUCCCUCUAGUGCAGUUUGGAAGUGAGGUUUCCUGCACUUACAGGGAGAUAAGAUUCACUGUCUGUAUUCCUCUUUUUCUGCCACCUUAUUAAAACAGCUGUUUUAUUAAGCCAUUUUUGGUUGUAUUUCUCCUUCUG
RNAcentral lists this long non-coding RNA (420 nucleotides) under Gallus gallus (chicken). RNAcentral's name for it is "long non-coding RNA NONGGAT011831". Lineage: Eukaryota; Metazoa; Chordata; Aves; Galliformes; Phasianidae. The record is from RNAcentral.